Molecule: long non-coding RNA, 314 nt
Filed under: Mytilus galloprovincialis (Mediterranean mussel)
Lineage: Eukaryota; Metazoa; Mollusca; Bivalvia; Mytilida; Mytilidae
Source: RNAcentral
UCAUGAUGUUUUUCUAGUCUUUUUUAUGUAGUAAUUGACUCUUUGCUCUCUUAUCUCCUUAUUAUAAUCUAUAAUUAAUCAUUUUACUCUCAUGCCUUUCUUUAACUCUUCAUUGAUAAAAUUAGUAAUCAUACGGGUUUUCUAGCCACAACACCACGUUCAAUCAACACUUUUUUAAAGUUUUAAAAAUGUCCUAUACCAUUGCAGGAAAAUGGCAGUUGUUAUCUUAUAGUUAUUUUAUGUGUGUGUUGCAUUGUCGUUUUUGUUUGUUUGUUGCAUUUCAAUGUUUUUGUUGUUUCGUUGGUUUCUACCCG